CCUACGGGAGGCAGCAGUGGGGGAUAUUGCACAAUGGGGGGAACCCUGAUGCAGCGACGCCGCGUGGGUGAAGAAGCGCCUCGGCGCGUAAAGCCCUGUCAGCAGGGGAGAAAAUGACGGUACCUGAAGAAGAAGCCCCGGCUAACUACGUGCCAGCAGCCGCGGUAAUAAGUCGGGGGCAAGCGUUAUCCGGAUUUACUGGGUGUAAAGGGGGCGCAGACGGCGAUGCAAGCCAGGAGUGAAAGCCCGGGGUCCAACCCCGGGACUGCUCUUGGAACUGCGUGGCUGGAGUGCAGGAGGGGCAGGCGGAAUUCCUGGUGUAGCGGUGAAAUGCGUAGAUAUCAGGAGGAACACCGGUGGCGAAGGCGGCCUGCUGGACUGCAACUGACGUUGAGGCCCGAAAGCGUGGGGAGCAAACAGGAUUAGAUACCCCAGUAGUC
Molecule: ribosomal RNA, 440 nt
Filed under: uncultured bacterium
Lineage: Bacteria
Description: partial 16S ribosomal RNA
Rfam family: Bacterial small subunit ribosomal RNA
Source: RNAcentral